This 238-nucleotide unclassified non-coding RNA is filed under the name Hevea brasiliensis (rubber tree). Lineage: Eukaryota; Viridiplantae; Streptophyta; Magnoliopsida; Malpighiales; Euphorbiaceae. The record is from RNAcentral.
ACUAGUCCCUCAGAUACCCAGACCCGAAUCAAGCUUAAAUCAAUGGCAGCGGUCGCUUUAGUAAAAGAUUCUGCAAUUGAUUCGCCAAAAUGUUAUCUUUUUCUGUGAUAACUUUUGGGUUUGGUUUAUCUGUUGCUUCUAGUUGUCAAAUUUGUGUAUUUCUUUGGUACGUUUUGAAGGGAUUUUAUCCUUGUGGGGAUUCUUGCAAGCACUUUCAUCCCACCGACAGAAACAAGCU